Molecule: ribosomal RNA, 465 nt
Filed under: Vreelandella stevensii
Lineage: Bacteria; Pseudomonadati; Pseudomonadota; Gammaproteobacteria; Oceanospirillales; Halomonadaceae
Description: partial 16S ribosomal RNA
Rfam family: Bacterial small subunit ribosomal RNA
Source: RNAcentral
CCUGCGGGUGGCAGCAGUGGGGAAUAUUGGACAAUGGGCGAAAGCCUGAUCCAGCCAUGCCGCGUGUGUGAAGAAGGCCUUCGGGUUGUAAAGCACUUUCAGUGGGGAAGAAAGCCUUGGGGCUAAUACCCUCGAGGAAGGACAUCACCCACAGAAGAAGCACCGGCUAACUCCGUGCCAGCAGCCGCGGUAAUACGGAGGGUGCGAGCGUUAAUCGGAAUUACUGGGCGUAAAGCGCGCGUAGGCGGUCUGAUAAGCCGGUUGUGAAAGCCCCGGGCUCAACCUGGGAACGGCAUCCGGAACUGUCAGGCUAGAGUGCAGGAGAGGAAGGUAGAAUUCCCGGUGUAGCGGGGAAAUGCGUAGAGAUCGGGAGGAAUACCAGUGGAGAAGGCGGCCUUCUGGACUGACACUGACGCUGAGGUGCGAAAGCGUGGGUAGCAAACAGGAUUAGAUACCCCAGUAGUC